GCUCGCCUGACGGUAUCGAGUGAGGAAGCACCGGCUAACUCCGUGCCAGCAGCCGCGGUAAAACAGAGGGUGCGAGCGUUGUCCGGAAUCACUGGGCGUAAAGGGCGCGUAGGUGGCUGGUAAGCGNGUGGNGAAAGUCCGGGGCUCAACCCCGGAUCUGCCGUGCNGAACUGCUGAGCUUGAGCACUGUAGAGGCAGGUGGAAUUCCGGGUGUAGCGGUGGAAUGCGNUAGAGAUCCGGAAGAACACCAGUGGCGAAGGCGGCCUGCUGGGCAGUUGCNUGACACUGAGGCGCGACAGCGUGGGGAGCAAACAGGAUUAGAUACCCUGGUAGUCCACGCCGUAAACGAUGGGUACCAGGUGUCUGGGGGAGCGACCCCCUUGGGUGCCGGCGCUAACGCAUGAAGUACCCCGCCUGGGGAGUACGGCCGCAAGGCUGACCCACCUCCAAGGAAUUGACGGGGGCCCGCACAAGCGGUGGAGCAUGUGGUUUUAAUUCGACGCCACGCGAAGAACCUUACCUGGGCUUGACAUGCUGGNAUGUNUUAGCCUUGCGGAAACGUGAGCCCCUCUUCGGAGUUCCAGCACAGAUGUCUGCAUGGUNNGUCGUCAGCUCGUGUCG
This 621-nucleotide ribosomal RNA is filed under the name uncultured Gemmatimonadota bacterium. RNAcentral's name for it is "bacterial SSU rRNA". It matches the Rfam family "Bacterial small subunit ribosomal RNA", at positions 463 to 1067 of the family's 1533-position model. The record is from RNAcentral. Lineage: Bacteria; Pseudomonadati; Gemmatimonadota.